CUAGGAAGGAAAAGAGCUUAAAGGUACGCGUGUUGAUCAUCUGGGAUGGGAGGGAGUCCCUUUCAUUCCACUCUCUCUCAAAAAUCUCAAAAGUAAAAAGCUACCCACAUGGAAGAGACAUCCUAAUUAUCCCUCUAAUUUUUUUUUUAUAUUAUUUCCUAUGCAUGCCAUUCCAUAAUCAUUUGCCCUCUACUCUGUCUGCGCCCAUAAUUAAAUACACUUGCUCUCUCUCUCCUUUCCUUCUUCUUUCUCUCUCUCUCUCCGUAUGGGUAUUUCCUCUCAUCCAAGGAAGAUGCAAGAACUGUCAGUAGAGCUUCCAACACAGACUAUUCCUCACUGCGAACCAUCAAAGCAUUUUGGAAAAUUGGUGUGCGAAUUCGAGGGUUUUGUGUACAACCUUGCAAAUCCCUUCUGAUUAAGGUGGCGGUGUUUGCUUGGUUUUGUGCUCUGGUCUCAGAAAUUGAAUAGUUUUUUUUCUGGUGGUUUCAUGCUAUCUUUAACUCCAAGUGGAAAGUCCAUGGAGCAAAAAAUGGACAAUCACAAUUAUUAUUGGCUUAUAUCAAAGUGUCAGUACCCACAUAAUGACUUUGGGCAUUAUUAAAUGGGAUGGGACACCUACUACAGUGGGCACAACUUAUGAAACUCAGAAGGAAUGACGACUGCUCAUUCGUCUUCCAGAUGAUCCCGUGCUUAAUGAUCAUGAGUUUGAAAAUCUUUGGUAAUGAUUUCAAAACAAAGAAAUUUUUUGUUAGUAUUCCAUUGACACCAAAAUGAGUUAGGGGUAAGGAUCGGAGAUCAGGAAGUACCAAAGAGCGACCGCUUUCGCUACCUUGGAUCUAUCUUGCAAAAGAACAGAGAAUUAAAUGGAGGCCUCAACCAUAGAAUACAAGCUGGAUGGAUGAAGUGGAAGAGUGCAUCCGGUGUGUUGUGUGACCGUCGUAUGCCACUGAAGCUAAAGAGAAAAUUAUAUAGGACAUCAAUAAGGUCGGUGAUGCUGUAUGACACGGAAUAUUGGGCGGUGAAGCAUCAACACAUACAUAAAAUGGGUGUAGCGGAGAUGAGAAUGCUUUGUUGGAUGUGUGGGCACACAAAAAAUGAUAAGAUUAGGAAUGAGGAUAUUCGAGGUAAAGUAGGAGUAGCCAAAAUUGAAGGAAAGACGAGAGAAAAUCGAUUACGAUGGUUUAGACAUGUGCAAAGAAGGCUUACUAAUGCUCCGGUUAGAAGAUGUGACUACGGGAUAGAGGUCUAGGGCCGAAGGGGUAGAUAAAGACCUAGGAAAACUUUGGAAGAGACUCUAAGAAAAGACUUAGAGUACUUGGAUCUAACGGAGGACAUGAUAUAGAACCGAGCGCAAUGGUGUUCUAGGAUUCAUAUAACCAACUCCACUUACUGGAAAAAGGCUUUGUUGUUGUUGUAGUAUUCCAUCGAUAAUUAAUGAAGGUUUGUGGUAAUUUUUUUUCCUCUGUUAGAUGUGUUCUAAUGCUAUGUUUUCCAUUGCACAAUUGAUGAAUUGUUCACUUAUCUUUCAAACAUAAUCUUCCAUACAAUUUUCAAUCGAUCGGAUUGAAUUUCCUAGUGUGUCCAUUCUACACUCUAUCCUCUGUCUCUUCUCUCAUUUCCUCCUGCCUCUCCUCUCUCUCCCUCCCUUUUCCCAAUCAACCCGAGCCUUUCUUUAACCCCAAAUUCUGGCCAAGCCUGCUGGAAUUGGACCUCAAUCCAAGAGAUUAGUGAACAGUUCUUGGGCGUCCACGGAGUGCAAGCAUGGUGAACUUCGUCGGUUGGUUGUGGCAGCUUUUUGGUGCAUACCGUUUCGUUCCUGCUAUGUGGGGAACAUCAUUCCUUUCUUGAUUAGAAUUAUUAACUUUUAUUGGUAUUCAUGGGUGAUAGCUAUUCUUUGUUUGACAUGGUUAAUCUUGGUUGGGAAAUUUGUUCUAAUCAGCCGCAAAACAUGGUCGAAAUUUUGUUGUCCUUGAAGUUCAUGACUUGGAAUCGUCGGGGUUGUUCCCGGCCAGGAUAUUUUUAGUCAAGCUUCCUUAUUAGAUUGAGUAAAUUUGUCAUUUUCUGUUGCAUCUUAUGGAACUCUAUGUCGGAUAAUUUAAGAAUACUAAAGUUCGGAUAUGUUUUUAGAUGAAAGGUGACCUUUCUUUUUGAUAUUGAAGGGGUGUUGCAUAAAAUUUGAUAGCUGCACACAAGUCAAUAACAUGAAACAUGGAGGGUGUGUACAUCCAUCCUUCUCACAGAGGUUUUGAGUUUCAUAUGCAUAGUCAAUUACUCUUAUUUUCUUAUUUGUCCUUCAUCGUACUUUCAAAGUUGUUAUUGACCAAAAGAAAGAAUUAAGUAGUUGAUUAUUAAUCAACUGAUGAUAAAGUAACUUAUUUUGUAAAAUGUUGGUAAUUCUAGUUCUGUAGACUAUGUUAGUUAUGGAGAUAUGUGACCUUUUCUGAAUUCAUUUGAAGAAUAUUACAAGGGGGCACUAUGGUGUUGAAAAUUAAUUUGUUGAAAGAUGAUGGGAAGCCAAGGGUUAUGGCUACUCUGAAUAAUAAUAAUAAUAACUAAUCUUUGUAACCGGAAAACCUGAUUUAAUUAUUUGUUCUAGGAAUGUCAUGGGUGAUUAUAUUCUAGUACUGAGGUACGUGACUUCUUUGUGAAAGCUCAUGUUUUAUGUUCAGUUCAUCAUUUCGUGUCUUGGAAAAGUUGAACAGAUCAAAUAAUGUAGAAAGUUUCAGUUUUCUUGUUGAGAUGCAAUUGUGUUCUAGUCAUAUGCAAAAGAAAAAUGUAUCUCACUAGCAAAAUGCUUUUCAAAAGUAAAAUGAACAUCCAAUGUUGACUUGUUCUCUGCAUUUUGCAUAAGUAUGGGGACCGAGGUGUGACAAUAGAUGUCAAAUGGUAUUGUAUCACAUAUUUGAAUGUAGUUGAUAUUUAAUUUCUUUUUUCAUUUUGCUUAUAAGUUUCAUUCAAUUCAGGAUUCAUUUUGAUAUGCGGAGUCUUUCAACACAUCUAUAUGUAUCUAAUGACUGCCUAAAAGGAUGAAUAUACGUUUGAAAUAGUUGCAUUGUUUUGUCUUUAAUUUAUAAUGUUGAUUUCUUGGUUGAGUUUCAGCAUGUAACUGAUCUGCUAAGAAGAGAAACCAAGGUACGCCUCACUGGUGGCAUGAAGGUGAAAGUUGACAGAGAUGAGUCUUUCCCCAUAUGCUGCCAUGCUUGCAGUAGAUGUUUCACAGAGAUAAAAAGUUGUGGGACUCUUUAAAAGUUAUAUGCAAGAAGGAAUCGUGGUUAAGCGAGCUUCAUUGCAUGAAGAACUUGGGUCCAAUGCCUGCAGUGGGAGGAUGGGAUUCUGAAGGACUUGAUAGUAAAUUACGUGGGAUUUGUUGUAAAUAACUGAAAUACAUGUAUAUUGUGUGUGUCAUCUCUGAUUUUAUGAAAAUUUUAAAUCUUUUGUUUUAUUUCAAA
Molecule: long non-coding RNA, 3449 nt
Organism: Malus domestica (apple)
Lineage: Eukaryota; Viridiplantae; Streptophyta; Magnoliopsida; Rosales; Rosaceae
Source: RefSeq, a predicted model, not a curated record